Molecule: ribosomal RNA, 324 nt
Filed under: uncultured eukaryote
Lineage: Eukaryota
Description: partial 18S ribosomal RNA
Rfam family: Eukaryotic small subunit ribosomal RNA
Source: RNAcentral
CCCUUAGAUGUUCUGGGCCGCACGCGCGCUACACUGAUGCAUUCAACGAGUUUCUUCCUGGUCCGAGAGGAAUGGGUAACCUUUUGAAAGUGCAUCGUGAUAGGGAUAGACUAUUGCAAUUAUUGGUCUUCAGCGAGGAAUUCCUAGUAGACGUAGUUCAUCAGACUGCAUCGAUUACGUCCCUGCCCUUUGUACACACCGCCCGUCGCUCCUACCGAUUGAAUGCUCAGGUGAGCCAUUCGGACUUUCAUCAUGCUGGUUUCCAGUUUUGAUGAAGGAAAGUCUUGCGAACCUUAUCAUUUAGAGGAAGGAGAAGUCGUAACA